RNAcentral lists this microRNA precursor (95 nucleotides) under Phaseolus vulgaris (common bean). Its description in RNAcentral is "pre miRNA mir-166". It matches the Rfam family "mir-166 microRNA precursor family". From Rfam's summary of the family: This family represents the plant microRNA (miRNA) precursor mir-166. Animal miRNAs are transcribed as ~70nt precursors and subsequently processed by the Dicer enzyme to give a ~22nt product. In plants the precursor sequences may be longer, and the carpel factory (caf) enzyme appears to be involved in processing. The record is from Rfam by way of RNAcentral. Lineage: Eukaryota; Viridiplantae; Streptophyta; Magnoliopsida; Fabales; Fabaceae.
GUUGAGGGGAAUGUCGUCUGGUUCGAGAUCAUUCAUAAGAAGUCUCACACAAAACUCUUCUGAAUGAUUUCGGACCAGGCUUCAUUCCCCUCAGC